UGCCUGGAAGUCCAGUGCAUAAGACUCUGUACUCUUAAUGCAGGGGACCCAGGUUCGAUCCCUGGUCAGGGAA
Molecule: transfer RNA, 73 nt
Filed under: Bos taurus (domestic cattle)
Lineage: Eukaryota; Metazoa; Chordata; Mammalia; Artiodactyla; Bovidae
Also listed under: 5 other names
Rfam family: tRNA
About the family: Transfer RNA (tRNA) molecules are approximately 80 nucleotides in length. Their secondary structure includes four short double-helical elements and three loops (D, anti-codon, and T loops). Further hydrogen bonds mediate the characteristic L-shaped molecular structure. tRNAs have two regions of fundamental functional importance: the anti-codon, which is responsible for specific mRNA codon recognition, and the 3' end, to which the tRNAs corresponding amino acid is attached (by aminoacyl-tRNA synthetases). tRNAs cope with the degeneracy of the genetic code in two manners: having more than one tRNA (with a specific anti-codon) for a particular amino acid; and 'wobble' base-pairing, i.e. permitting non-standard base-pairing at the 3rd anti-codon position.
Source: Rfam by way of RNAcentral